UGAGCAGGCGGUCAAUUAAGUCUAAGAUGAAAAGCUAUUGCUUAACGAUAGUUGGUUUUAGAAACUGAUAGACUAGAGUACGGAAGAGGUAAGCGGAAUUCCAUGUGUAGCGGUGAAAUGCGCAGAUAUAUGGAGGAACACCAGUGGCGAAGGCGGCUUACUAGACCGGGACUGACGCUGAGUCACGAAAGCGUGGGUAGCAAAUA
RNAcentral lists this ribosomal RNA (206 nucleotides) under uncultured bacterium. RNAcentral's name for it is "partial 16S ribosomal RNA". It matches the Rfam family "Bacterial small subunit ribosomal RNA", at positions 568 to 774 of the family's 1533-position model. The record is from RNAcentral.